Molecule: ribosomal RNA, 253 nt
Filed under: uncultured bacterium
Lineage: Bacteria
Description: partial 16S ribosomal RNA
Rfam family: Bacterial small subunit ribosomal RNA
Source: RNAcentral
GACAGAGGGUGCCCACGUUGCUCGGAAUUACUGGGCGUAAAGCGCGUGUAGGCGGUUUCGCAAGUCAGGGGUGAAAGCCCGGGGCUCAACCCCGGAAGUGCACAUGAUACUACGGAGCUGGAGUACUGAAGAGGAGAGCGGAAUUCCCGGUGUAGAGGUGAAAUUCGUAGAUAUUGGGAAGAACACCGGUGGCGAAGGCGGCGACCUGGUCCUUGACUGACGCUGAGGCGCGAAAGCGUGGGGAGCAAACAGG